UGGGGAAUAUUGCACAAUGGGCGAAAGCCUGAUGCAGCGACGCCGCGUGAGGGAUGACGGCCUUCGGGUUGUAAACCUCUUUCAGUAGGGACGAAGCGCAAGUGACGGUACCUGCAGAAGAAGCACCGGCUAACUACGUGCCAGCAGCCGCGGUAAUACGUAGGGUGCGAGCGUUGUCCGGAAUUACUGGGCGUGAAGAGCUCGUAGGCGGUUUGUCACGUCGUCUGUGAAAUCCUAGGGCUUAACCCUGGACGUGCAGGCGAUACGGGCUGACUUGAGUACUACAGGGGAGACUGGAAUUUCUGGUGUAGCGGUGGAAUGCACAGAUAUCAGGAAGAACACCGAUGGCGAAGGCAGGUCUCUGGGUAGUAACUGACGCUGAGGAGCGAAAGCAUGGGUAGCGAACAGG
Molecule: ribosomal RNA, 409 nt
Filed under: bacterium
Lineage: Bacteria
Description: partial 16S ribosomal RNA
Rfam family: Bacterial small subunit ribosomal RNA
Source: RNAcentral